This 332-nucleotide ribosomal RNA is filed under the name uncultured eukaryote. Its description in RNAcentral is "partial 18S ribosomal RNA". It matches the Rfam family "Eukaryotic small subunit ribosomal RNA", at positions 1470 to 1796 of the family's 1831-position model. The record is from RNAcentral.
CCCUUAGAUGUUCUGGGCUGCACGCGCGCUACACUGAUGCGCUCAACGAGUUUUAACCUUGCCUGGAAAGGUUGGGUAAUCUUUUUAAAACGCAUCGUGAUGGGGAUAGAUUAUUGCAAUUAUUAAUCUUCAACGAGGAAUUCCUAGUAAGCGCGAGUCAUCAGCUCGUGCUGAUUACGUCCCUGCCCUUUGUACACACCGCCCGUCGCUACUACCGAUUGAAUGGUUUAGUGAGAUCCUUGGAUUGGUCCCGGGAUGGUGGGAAACUGCCGCUCCGGUGUGCUGAGAAGACGAUCAAACUUGAUCAUUUAGAGGAAGUAAAAGUCGUAACA